This 230-nucleotide long non-coding RNA is filed under the name Elaeis guineensis (African oil palm). Its description in RNAcentral is "long non-coding RNA (EGUI_LNC050147)". Lineage: Eukaryota; Viridiplantae; Streptophyta; Magnoliopsida; Arecales; Arecaceae. The record is from RNAcentral.
UAAGAGCCCUAGUGGCCACCUCCACAAACCCUCAACCGAAGUAGUGAAAUUUUUCAAUAUCUCCCAUGGCAAAGUGGGAUGCCCACUGAAGUGCUCCCUCAAAGCAUACGAUGACCAAUCAGAAGGUAGAAGAUCUCACAAGCCAGAGAAAAGCAUGAGUGACCCUCCAACACUAGAUAAGAUAGCUCCACCACAAUAUUGAAGAGAACAACCAAGAUGAUACCAGCCCC